AUAUGGGACUAAAUCAAUUAAAUCCCUUGUUUAUUGAUGCAACAAAUUGUGAGUUUGCUAUAGCCCAUGUAAGGCUUAGCACAGUUGCAUUGUUUAGUUUUUCACCGGGACAAUAAUCUCCAUUCGCUAAUGUUAUCUAUUCUUGAAGUUAAACAUUAAAGUAAAAGUGGAAUGAGAAAGACAUCGAGAACUCAUGAAACAAUUACAACCACAAGUCAACUUGUAGAUAAAUUUAUUGUUGUAAUACUGUCUUUUUGAUGGAAAAAGGAAGGCAGCAUUUUUGCUUCCCCCC
This 292-nucleotide long non-coding RNA is filed under the name Elaeis guineensis (African oil palm). Its description in RNAcentral is "long non-coding RNA (EGUI_LNC028542)". Lineage: Eukaryota; Viridiplantae; Streptophyta; Magnoliopsida; Arecales; Arecaceae. The record is from RNAcentral.